Molecule: transfer RNA, 73 nt
Filed under: Candidatus Vampirococcus lugosii
Lineage: Bacteria; Candidatus Absconditibacteriota
Description: tRNA-Trp
Rfam family: tRNA
About the family: Transfer RNA (tRNA) molecules are approximately 80 nucleotides in length. Their secondary structure includes four short double-helical elements and three loops (D, anti-codon, and T loops).
Source: RNAcentral
AGGGGUGUAGCUCAGUUGGUAGAGCAAUGGUCUCCAAAGCCGUGUGUCGCGGGUUCAAGUCCUGUCACCCCUG